This 504-nucleotide ribosomal RNA is filed under the name uncultured bacterium. RNAcentral describes it as "bacterial SSU rRNA". It matches the Rfam family "Bacterial small subunit ribosomal RNA", at positions 28 to 520 of the family's 1533-position model. The record is from RNAcentral.
GAUGAACGCUAGCUACAGGCUUAACACAUGCAAGUCGAGGGGCAGCAUGAUUGAAGCUUGCUUCAAUUGAUGGCGACCGGCGCACGGGUGAGUAACACGUAUCCAACCUUCCGUACACUCAGGGAUAGCCUUUCGAAAGAAAGAUUAAUACCUGAUGGUAUCUUAAGCACACAUGUAAUUAAGAUUAAAGAUUUAUCGGUGUACGAUGGGGAUGCGUUCCAUUAGGUAGUAGGCGGGGUAACGGCCCACCUAGCCUACGAUGGAUAGGGGUUCUGAGAGGAAGGUCCCCCACAUUGGAACUGAGACACGGUCCAAACUCCUACGGGAGGCAGCAGUGAGGAAUAUUGGUCAAUGGACGAGAGUCUGAACCAGCCAAGUAGCGUGAAGGAUGAAGGUCCUACGGAUUGUAAACUUCUUUUAUAAGGGAAUAAAACCUCCCACGUGUGGGAGCUUGUAUGUACCUUAUGAAUAAGCAUCGGCUAACUCCGUGCCAGCAGCCGACGG